Non-coding RNA from Paramuricea clavata, 69 nucleotides. NCBI's taxonomy places the organism in Eukaryota, Metazoa, Cnidaria, Anthozoa, Malacalcyonacea, Plexauridae. The record is from the annotation of a GenBank genome assembly.
UCUCUCUGUGGCUGGUUAAAGCGCUGCACCAGAAUCGCAGGGGCGCAGGUUGGAAUCCUGCCACAGGAC